GGGCCCGCACAAGCGGUGGAGCAUGUGGUUUAAUUCGAUGCAACGCGAAGAACCUUACCAGGACUUGACAUACUACGAAUUCUUCUGAGAAGAAGAAGUGCCUUCGGGAAUGUAGAUACAGGUGGUGCAUGGCUGUCGUCAGCUCGUGUCGUGAGAUGUUGGGUUAAGUCCCGCAACGAGCGCAACCCUUAUUUUUAGUUACUAAUUCGUUAGGUUCUCUAGAAAGACUGCCGGUGACAAACCGGAGGAAGGUGAGGAUGACGUCAAGUCAGCAUGCCCCUUAUGUCCUGGGCUACACACGUGCUACAAUGGUUAAGACAAAGAGUCGCGAGCUUGUGAAAGUCAGCUAAUCUCAUAAACUUAGCCUAAGUUCAGAUUGUAGGCUGCAACUCGCCUACAUG
RNAcentral lists this ribosomal RNA (401 nucleotides) under uncultured bacterium. RNAcentral's name for it is "bacterial SSU rRNA". It matches the Rfam family "Bacterial small subunit ribosomal RNA", at positions 917 to 1322 of the family's 1533-position model. The record is from RNAcentral.